Pezoporus occidentalis (night parrot) is the source of this 3811-nucleotide long non-coding RNA. RefSeq lists it as uncharacterized. The transcript has 2 exons. Lineage: Eukaryota; Metazoa; Chordata; Aves; Psittaciformes; Psittacidae. The record is from RefSeq and is a predicted model, not a curated record.
ACCUCACUGUGCUAGGAAGCUGCAAGCCUGAGGAGGCAAAGAGAGGAGCAGGGUGAGGAAAAUAGGCCUGGGAGGUGGGCAUGAUGCUGUGCCUGUGAGCUGGGCAUCAGUGACUUCUGAUGGUGGUACCCCACUACCAGCCCAGGGCAGCUAUUCCCCAUCCCUCUGCAGAAGCCCUGUGUAAAGGAGGAUGGCAGACAGAGAAGAACAGGGCUUUCUUUUGUGCCUGUGGAUGUCUGCAGGAGCCUCCCACAGUCUGUGUCCCCCAGGCUGGCUGGCACCUGCCAUUGCACAGUUCCCAGUUGGAUGGGUACAUCCUGCCUGGUGCCCGAGCUCAUCAGGAGCUCCUGGGUACAGUGCACCCGGAUGAGGCCAGGAGGGUUGGGAGACACAGGAGCCCCUGAAAAUGAGAGGAGGAAAAGGGAUUUGUAGUGAUUUUUAGGUGCCUGAUAGGCACUCAUUUCUAUGAGCACACAUGCUUCCUGCUUAUUCCAUGCCAGAUGUAUCCCAUCUCCUGACAGCCAUGCUCGGGACUGUAAGCUGCAGUCACAGCCUCUCCUGCAUCAGCCUGUGGCUCCCUAAUUUCUCUCCAAUUUUCAGUGCUCCUCUUAAUCUACCUGAAAAGGGCUGCUGUGAGGCUUAAUUACACUUAAUGUCUGUGCAGCACUUAAGAUGAGAGGCGUUAUGUGUGCGCUGAGUAUUGUGAACACAGUUCAGAGGUAUGCAGAGCUAUGCAUUAAUUCCCUUUGCUAUGGCAAAAAAAAACAUAAAGCCCCAGCUCCUAGUGGCCUUUGGAUGCUUGGCUCCCUGUGUCAGAGCUAUAAUGGAGAUGCACCUUCCAUCUAGAUAAUUAAAGGAUCAGGAGACCAGGAAAAUGCUGCUUGUAGGCAGAAGUUAGAGCAUAAUCAAAAUGAGCUAAAUCCUGUUUGCACAGGAUGAUGACAGAGGAAAUGUUUCUGCAUGGAAAAGAGCUCAAAGCUCCUGCUUUCAGUGGUGACAGUAAUGCAAGGUCCAGCUCUUCUCCAGAGCUGCCCAUGGUGGGUUCCCAUCAGCCAAACAGGCAUCCAGGGGGUAAAAUGUCCCCUAGCAACUGGGAGAGGGUUGAGUGGUAGAAGAGGUGCAGGCACAAUGUGCCAGGGCAUCCUCACUGCCUCAUCCUCAUGGUCUAGAGAGUUGCUCCUAUGCUUUUCCCAUUCUUCAUGUCCUGCCUUAUGCUCUGGUGCAAGCUCCUCUGCAUCCCGAACAGGGUAACACAAACUGUGCUUAUCCCUCAGCUUUAUUUUUUUCCUUUUUGUCUGUGUUCUGAGGAUCCAGGUUGAUUAAGUGUCAAAGGAAAGUCCCAGAAAGACAGAAUAUCCUCUUUAAUCCCUAACUCCAUUUUGGGGGGAUUAAGAGAAGUAAGUAAGAACUGAGGUGUGAACUGCUGCCUGGAUGCUGAUAUGCUAAAAAUUAUCAAUGACUUUGGCUUCAUUCAUUUUUACUGUGUAAGAGGCAUAAUGGAGGAAUAAUGGAAGGGGAAGGAAUUGCUGCAGGGAACAGGAUAAUUGGCACAGGAGGUGGCUCUGCCAGCACAUGUUCCAACACCAUGCUGGUGUGUGUGAGCCUGCACAAGAGGAAAGGCAGUUGCACAGCAGGAAAGCUGCCAGCUAUAGUGACAGCAUCCCAGAGACAGCAUUCAACAUGUGCAAGUAGAGGGGGAAACAGCUGCUGUAUUUAUGUGCACCUAUGGCAAAGGUGUCAGGGAGGUUUGAUGCCUUAAAGCACAGCAUUUUGCAGAGUGCAUAGCCCUGGUGCUCUGGGAUGUCGGGCUCACUGUCCCCAUAGCCAGAGCAUCAGUUCCUUUGGAUAGAUGCACCCUUGGGUUUUGCUUUCCUGCAGAAGAUAGGAGAAACAUGGGGAGGGAAUGGUAGGACUUUCCAGGCUUUUGGCAGUAGGUGUUUCAAUCAAUCCCAGCCCUCCUACACAUCCCUGAGAGGGUUGGGCAUGUCUUUUUCUUCUCCUUCCCUCUUUUGAUUUAAAAAUGAGUACUUGGAAAGCCAUGGAGUUGGUAUCCAUGCACAGCAUUAGCAGAAAGAGGAAAGCUCUGGAGACAGCACAGCUUGGAGUGCAGCAAGGGAGCAGAGGGUACAGGCUUCUGCUCCAGCUCCAGGGCACCUCCAAAAGGUCUUGUCCCUCUUCCUUGUUCAGCCUCUGGGGCACAUGCUUGUGUCUUCCCCUGUGUCAAAUCUAGUGACUGUGACUGUGCAGGGAACCAGACUGGUUUGCUGAGACACACAAAAACUAGUUGCGUAUACACAUAUAUAUUUAGAUGUUUGUAUGCAUUUUAAGAGGUUCUGCAUGCUUGGCAACAGUCACAGUUCAGUUAGAUUGAACAUACUGCAAAGUAUGAAGGGGGUUGAAAAAAAAAGGAUAAAUAUGUAAGCAAUACUGAGAGUGCAGGGUCUGAAAAUGCCCCAGGAAUGGUGUGUUGGGGCUGGAACUGUGCAUGUCCAUGGGGUCUGUGUGUGGCUGAUGGUGUGUGAUGAUGAUGCCACUGUAGCAGCCUGUCUCUGCAGCUGAACCCAGAUGCUACAGCCCCACAUAUUUAGCCCUGUGCUCAGUGUGAUUACUUUGAAUGCAAUUUGCCUUGUCACUCACCAAUUAAUGAGGACAGAAAGCCAGAAAAGGCAUGAGCUUUUCCCUCUUGCCCUGCUGCCUCCAGUGCAUGAGCCCUUUAAAACUCUUUUUGGCACUGUGGUGGGGAGGGGGUUCUAGGGACAGCCCUAGCCCCUCAGUUGGAUUCCUGGGGAGACGCUGUGCCGAGGGGCACUGCCUGUGCUCCAUGAACCUUUGUGGGACUGCUAACAAAACCCAUUGAGGUGGAGCGGUUAGUGGGGGUCUGGCAGUGGUCACACAUGGGACAGACCCCAAAUAAACACCCAGGCAGUGUGGGCUAAACCUGUGGGAUCAAGGGUGAACACAUGGAUGCACCCACUCUUGCUUUUGCAGAAACAGGGAAAAAUGAAUGGCAUCUCACAGUCAUUGCAGUUAUGCCUAUCCUGGGAUCGCACACAGGAGUGUGACUCUCCCCAUCACCUCCUUUCUGAAUGGGCUGUGGGAAUUUAAUCUUAUCUCCUUUGCUGCACUGUUUCUUUGAAGCCUUUCCCUCCUCCCUGUUUUCACAGCCAGUAACUUUCUCUCUGCCUUCCCCAGACAGGUCACCUUAUAAAAGCCUUCUUUUCCUUCCUGGCUUCGCAUUAUUACUCCCUCCCUGCUGAUCCUAUUCUUCUCUCCUCUGUGAAAGCUUCCUUCUCCCCUGCACUCUCUCACCUACUCUUUUUUCCCUCUUGAAUCAUUAUUCAUAAUUUCUGUGCAGAUGCACCCACACAUUUUGGUGUUUGUUGGGAGAGGUACAGAUAAUACAGAAGCAGUAGCAGAUGCCAAGAGCCUGGAUCCAGGAGCAGCCUCCUUCCUCUUUCCCUCAAUCACUGCCAGGUUAAAUGCAACUCCAGGAGUCUCCAGUUCUGAACCUUCACUGCAAAGAAACCCAACCUGUUCCACCCAGAGCUCCCCAUAGCUUCACCCCAACAGCUUCAUCCCCAGAAGCCUCACUUCACAGAUUUUGGAGCUCAGCGGUGAUUCAGCAGCCAAGCACAGCACCCACACAAGUCACAUCAGUCAUGCUCCUGGUACAGAGGUGAUGCUUGUGUGAGACAUAAAUAUUCCUGGGGUGGAGAAGCAGAUCUUUUCAGUUUACUUAAUUCCUAACAGCAUCUGUCUUUUCCUGCUAAUGAGGGACUAAUACUGCAAUUAAAGCCCUGCUAACUGGAAA